AGAGUUUGAUUCUGGCUCAGAACGAACGCUGGCAGCGUGGAUUAGGCAUGCAAGUCGAACGGGAAGCUAUGGCUUCAAUCUUCGGAGAGAAGCCAUGGUGGAUAGCGGCGGAAGGGUGAGUAACGCGUGGGCAAUCUGCCUCCGAGUUGGGGAUAACCCUCCGAAAGGAGGGCUAAUACCGAAUACGGUCGCGUCGCGCAUGCGGCGAGGACCAAAGGUGGGGAUUCUUCGGAACCUGCCGCUGGGAGAGGAGCCCGCGUACCAUCAGCUUGUUGGUAGGGUAACGGCCUACCAAGGCUUACGGUUAGCUGGUCUGAGAGGAUGGUCAGCCACACUGGGACCGAGACACUGCCCAGACUCCUACGGGAGGCUGCAGUCGAGGAUCAUUGUCAAUGCGCGAAAGCGUGAACAUGCGACGCUGCGUGGAGGAUGACGGCCCUAGGGUUGUAAACUCCUGUCAUUCGGAAAAAACGGCCUCGCUCCCAAUACGGGCGGGGUGUGAUGGUACCGGAAGAGGAAGCCACGGCUAACUCUGUGCCAGCAGCCGCGGUAAGACAGAGGUGGCGAGCGUUGUUCGGAUUUACUGGGCGUAAAGCGUGCGUAGGCGGUUCUGUGUGUCGGAUGUGAAAGCCCACGGCCCAACCGUGGAAUUGCAUCCGAAACUGCAGAACUAGAGUGCAAGAGGGGAGAGCGGAAUUCUAGGUGUAGCGGUGAAAUGCGUUGAUAUCUAGAAGAACACCGGUGGCGAAGGCGGCUCUCUGGAAUGUUACUGACGCUGAGGCACGAAAGCUGGGGGAGCAAACAGGAUUAGAUACCCUGGUAGUCCCAGCCGUAAACGGUGUGCACUUGGUGUGGGGGGAAUUGACCCCCUCCGUGCCGGAGCUAACGCGUUAAGUGCACCGCCUGGGGAGUACGGCCGCAAGGUUAAAACUCAAAGAAAUUGACGGGGGCCCGCACAAGCGGAGGAGCAUGUGGCUUAAUUCGAUGCAACGCGAAGAACCUUACCAGGGUUUGACAUGCAGCUGCUUCCUCCCUGAAAGGGGAGGGUCCUUCGAGGGUGCUGCACAGGUGCUGCAUGGCUGUCGUCAGUUCGUGCUGUGAGGUGUUGGGUUAAGUCCCGCAACGAACGCAACCCCUGUGUCUAGUUGCCACCGCGGGUGAUGAGCCCGCGAGCACUCUAGACAGACUGCCCGUACAAGCGGGAGGAAGGUGGGGACGACGUCAAGUCAGUAUGGCCCUUACGCCCUGGGCUGCACACGUGCUACAAUGGCCGGUACAAUGGGACGCAAUGCCGCGAGGUGGAGCAAAUCCCCAAAGCCGGCCUCAGUUCGGAUUGGAGUCUGCAACUCGACUCCAUGAAGUUGGAUUCGCUAGUAACGGCGCAUCAGCUACGGCGCCGUGAAUACGUUCCCGGGCCUUGUACACACCGCCCGUCACAGCAUGAAAGCCGUCUGUACCCGAAGUCGCUGAGCUAACCCGCAAGGGAGGCAGGUGCCGAAGGUGUGGGUGGUGAUUGGGCUGAAGUCGUAACAAGGUA
RNAcentral lists this ribosomal RNA (1537 nucleotides) under metagenome. Its description in RNAcentral is "bacterial SSU rRNA". It matches the Rfam family "Bacterial small subunit ribosomal RNA". The record is from RNAcentral.